UCAGGGAUUGGGUGGAGGGGAGUGGGGGCGGAGGGUGGCAUUUGGGGGGGGUCUCACCCUCCCUUCUUCCUGGGCCCCCAG
RNAcentral lists this microRNA precursor (81 nucleotides) under Ovis aries (sheep). RNAcentral describes it as "miRNA (ENSOARG00000022327.1)". Lineage: Eukaryota; Metazoa; Chordata; Mammalia; Artiodactyla; Bovidae. The record is from RNAcentral.